UGCAGUCGCACGAGAAAGUGGAGCAAUCCAUGAGUACAGUGGCGUACGGGUGAGUAACACGUGGAUCAUCUACCUUCUAGUGGGGAAUACCUCCGGGAAACUGGAGACAAUACCGCAUAAGCUCGUAAGAGGAAAGCAGCAAUGCGCUGGAAGAGGAGUCCGCGGCUGAUUAGCUAGUUGGCGGGGUAAUGGCCCACCAAGGCGAAGAUCGGUAGCCGGCCUGAGAGGGCACACGGCCACACUGGCACUGAAAUACGGGCCAGACUCCUACGGGAGGCAGCAGUGGGGAAUCUUGCACAAUGGAGGAAACUCUGAUGCAGCGACGCCGCGUGAGCGAUGAAGCCCUUCGGGGUGUAAAGCUCUUUCGACGGGAACGAUAAUGACGGUACCCGAAGAAGAAGCUGCGGCUAACUACGUGCCAGCAGCCGCGGUAAUACGUAGGCAGCAAGCGUUGUUCGGAAUUACUGGGCGUAAAGAGUGUGUAGGCGGUGUUCUAAGUCUGUUGUGAAAUCUCCCGGCUUAACUGGGAGGGUGCGGCGGAAACUGGAAUGCUAGAGGAUGGGAGAGGUAAGCGGAAUUCCUGGUGUAGCGGUGAAAUGCGUAGAUAUCAGGAGGAACACCUGUGGUGUAGACAGCUUACUGGACCAUUUCUGACGCUGAGACACGAAAGCGUGGGUAGCAAACAGGAUUAGAUACCCUGGUAGUCCACGCCCUA
RNAcentral lists this ribosomal RNA (715 nucleotides) under uncultured bacterium. RNAcentral's name for it is "bacterial SSU rRNA". It matches the Rfam family "Bacterial small subunit ribosomal RNA", at positions 56 to 804 of the family's 1533-position model. The record is from RNAcentral.